AAUCAUCAUGCCCCUUAUGACCUGGGCUACACACGUGCUACAAUGGUUGGUACAACGGGAUGCUACUUCGCGAGAAGAUGCUAAUCUCUUAAAACCAAUCUCAGUUCGGAUUGUAGGCUGCAACUCGCCUACAUGAAGUCGGAAUCGCUAGUAAUCGCGGAUCAGCAUGCCGCGGUGAAUACGUUCCCGGGCCUUGUACACACCGCCCGUCACACCACGGGAGUUUGCAACACCCGAAGUCGGUGAGGUAACCGMAAGGAGCCAGCCGCCGAAGGUGGGGUAGAUAACUGGGGUGAAGUCGUAACAAGGUAUCCGUACCGGAAGGUGCGGAUGGAUCACCUCCUUUCUAUGGAGA
RNAcentral lists this ribosomal RNA (355 nucleotides) under Brevibacillus laterosporus. RNAcentral's name for it is "bacterial SSU rRNA". It matches the Rfam family "Bacterial small subunit ribosomal RNA", at positions 1188 to 1533 of the family's 1533-position model. The record is from RNAcentral. Lineage: Bacteria; Bacillati; Bacillota; Bacilli; Caryophanales; Paenibacillaceae.